AAAAGUGGAAGAUCAAAGGGAACUGCAGAGGUUGUCUUUUCGACAAAAGCAGAAGCUUUAGCUGCUCUUAAGAAAUACAACAACGUGCAACUUGAUGGCAAACCUAUGAAAAUUGAGUGGACCUGGGAGGGGUGCUGGCGGCCGAGGAUGGUCUC
Lolium rigidum is the source of this 155-nucleotide long non-coding RNA. RefSeq lists it as uncharacterized. Lineage: Eukaryota; Viridiplantae; Streptophyta; Magnoliopsida; Poales; Poaceae. The transcript is spliced from 3 exons. The record is from RefSeq and is a predicted model, not a curated record.